RNAcentral lists this ribosomal RNA (238 nucleotides) under Drosophila hydei. Its description in RNAcentral is "partial 28S ribosomal RNA". RNAcentral also lists the same sequence under 1 other name. Lineage: Eukaryota; Metazoa; Arthropoda; Insecta; Diptera; Drosophilidae. The record is from RNAcentral.
ACGUCAGAACUGUUUCGGUCUUCCAUCAGGGUUUCCCCUGACUUCAACCUGAUCAAGUAUAGUUCACCAUCUUUCGGGUCACAGCAUAUAUGCUCAAGGUACGUUCUAGUUAGAGGUAUAAAUAAUAUAAAUACCAUUAUACAUAACUAUAUAGAACGCCCCGGGAUUGCGUUAAUUAACUAUAAAUAGUUAAAAAACUAAUCCCAUUAAUAGUCAAGUUAAUUAUGUUAUUAGGUUU